Molecule: ribosomal RNA, 244 nt
Filed under: Vibrio parahaemolyticus
Lineage: Bacteria; Pseudomonadati; Pseudomonadota; Gammaproteobacteria; Vibrionales; Vibrionaceae
Description: partial 16S ribosomal RNA
Rfam family: Bacterial small subunit ribosomal RNA
Source: RNAcentral
AAAUUGAAGAGUUUGAUCAUGGCUCAGAUUGAACGCUGGCGGCAGGCCUAACACAUGCAAGUCGAGCGGAAACGAGAUAUCUGAACCUUCGGGGAACGAUAUCGGCGUCGAGCGGCGGACGGGUGAGUAAUGCCUGGGAAAUUGCCCUGAUGUGGGGGAUAACCAUUGGAAACGAUGGCUAAUACCGCAUGAUAGCUUCGGCUCAAAGAGGGGGACCUUCGGGCCUCUCGCGUCAGGAUAUGCC